GUAGGUGGCAAGCGUUGUCCGGAAUUAUUGGGCGUAAAGCGCGCGCAGGGCGGUCCUUUAAGUCUGAUGUGAAAGCCCACGGCUCAACCGUGGAGGGUCAUUGGAAACUGGGGGACUUGAGUACAGAAGAGGAAAGCGGAAUUCCAAGUGUAGCGGUGAAGUGCGUAGAGAUUUGGAGGAACACCAGUGGCGAAGGCGGCUUUCUGGUCCGUAACUGACGCUGAGGCGCGAAAGCGUGGGGAGCAAACAGGAUUAGAUACCCUGGUAGUCCACGCCGUAAACGAUGAGUGCUAAGUGUUAGGGGGUUUCCGCCCCUUAGUGCUGCAGCUAACGCAUUAAGCACUCCGCCUGGGGAGUACGGCCGCAAAGGCUG
RNAcentral lists this ribosomal RNA (373 nucleotides) under uncultured organism. RNAcentral describes it as "partial 16S ribosomal RNA". It matches the Rfam family "Bacterial small subunit ribosomal RNA", at positions 527 to 896 of the family's 1533-position model. The record is from RNAcentral.